This 208-nucleotide microRNA precursor is filed under the name Oryza brachyantha (malo sina). RNAcentral describes it as "MIR812 microRNA precursor family". It matches the Rfam family "MIR812 microRNA precursor family". Lineage: Eukaryota; Viridiplantae; Streptophyta; Magnoliopsida; Poales; Poaceae. The record is from Rfam by way of RNAcentral.
AAUAAGAUCAUUUUUCGGUUUUUUGAUACAAUAUUUUGACUCUUCGUCUUAUUUUAUAUAUUUUUACGAUUACUAUUUUUACUCUUACUUGAUGAUAAUAUAUAAAUAGUACUAUAUGUGUGACUAAUAUUUUUAAGUUUUUUAUAAUUUUUUUAAAUAAGACGAAUAGUCAAAACGUUGGACACAAAAAUCAAAAAAUAAAGUUAUU